CAGCUGAUAAGCACUACAAAGGCUUGGCUGUGCUCUCAUACAGUAGCUACCAGAGCAACCUAUUAGAGGAAGAACUUUGUUUCCUUCUCUGUCCUUGAAGCCGUGUUGUGAUCAUCCAAAAAAAAAGUGUUAUGAUUUGAAUGUUCUUGUUGUAAUUUGGAAUUGACUUUAAUUGUCCAUACACUUUUCCUUUAAUCACCUGCAUAUGUACAUGUUUAGUAGUAAAUCUGUGGGUUGCUUUUGUGAACCAGUAUCAGUCAGUACUUGAAAUACCCCACACAGAGUCCAGAUCCUUCUGCGAGUCAACAGGCAAGGUGAAAUCAAACCUGCCUUAUUUCCCAAAAUUUCCUCAAAUUAAUCGCCAUUGGGGUGGAUUAAAGUCAAAGUGAACUACCUUAUCAAGUUUUCCUUAGUUCGAGUUUAUCUGAUCUUGGUCGAAAGUGAAAAGUUAAAUAUUAAAUGGAUAUGCA
This is a long non-coding RNA of Micropterus dolomieu (smallmouth bass), 470 nucleotides long. RefSeq lists it as uncharacterized. The record is from RefSeq and is a predicted model, not a curated record. The transcript has 3 exons. NCBI's taxonomy places the organism in Eukaryota, Metazoa, Chordata, Actinopteri, Centrarchiformes, Centrarchidae.